GGACCAUAGCUCAGUUGUAGAGCAUCUGCUUUUCAUGCUGAAGGUCCCAGGUUCAAUCCCAGGCAUCUCUG
Non-coding RNA from Podarcis lilfordi (Lilford's wall lizard), 71 nucleotides. The record is from the annotation of a GenBank genome assembly. NCBI's taxonomy places the organism in Eukaryota, Metazoa, Chordata, Lepidosauria, Squamata, Lacertidae.